This 253-nucleotide ribosomal RNA is filed under the name uncultured bacterium. Its description in RNAcentral is "partial 16S ribosomal RNA". It matches the Rfam family "Bacterial small subunit ribosomal RNA", at positions 524 to 776 of the family's 1533-position model. The record is from RNAcentral.
GACGGAGGAGGCAAGCGUUAUCCGGAAUUAUUGGGCGUAAAGGGUACGUAGGCGGCUGGUCAAGUCUGGGGUCAAAGGCCACAGCUCAACUGUGGAAAGGCCCUGGAAACUGACCGGCUAGAGUGAGGUAGGGGUUGCGGGAAUUCCAGGUGUAGCGGUGAAAUGCGUAGAGAUCGGGAAGAACACCUGAGGCGGAAGCGCGCAACUGGGCCUCAACUGACGCUGAGGUAAGAAAGCUAGGGGAGCGAAUGGG